AACGCAUCUUGCGCUCUGGGGUAUUCCUCAGAGCAUGCCUGUUUGAGUGUCGUGGACUAUCUCAACCCCGCUGGGUUUUUUUUUGCCCAGUAGCUUGGGCUUUGGAUCGUGAUCGUCUGCCGGCUGGCCUUGUGUACGGGUCUGGCUCGAUCAAAAGGCACGAGCGGCUGAUUUCCCUUGAUCCGGCCUGUGACUCGGCGUGAUAAUCAUUUCUUCGCCGAAUGACAGAAUGUGGAGAAGGGGUAGUGAAAGGCUGCUACCAAACCACCACUUGAUCACCUUGACCUCAAAUCAGGUAGGACUACCCGCUGAACUUAA
RNAcentral lists this unclassified non-coding RNA (318 nucleotides) under uncultured fungus. RNAcentral describes it as "sequence contains ITS2". The stretch from base 1 to 52 matches the Rfam family "5.8S ribosomal RNA", at positions 103 to 154 of the family's 154-position model. The record is from RNAcentral. Lineage: Eukaryota; Fungi.